Molecule: ribosomal RNA, 433 nt
Filed under: uncultured bacterium
Lineage: Bacteria
Description: partial 16S ribosomal RNA
Rfam family: Bacterial small subunit ribosomal RNA
Source: RNAcentral
AGCGAACGCUGGCGGCAGGCCUAACACAUGCAAGUCGAACGAACCUUUCGGGGUUAGUGGCGGACGGGUGAGUAACACGUGGGAACGUGCCUUUAGGUUCGGAAUAACUCAGGGAAACUUGUGCUAAUACCGAAUGUGCCCUUCGGGGGAAAGAUUUAUCGCCUUUAGAGCGGCCCGCGUCUGAUUAGCUAGUUGGUUGAGGUAAUGGCUCACCAAGGCGACGAUCAGUAGCUGGUCUGAGAGGAUGAUCAGCCACAUUGGGACUGAGACACGGCCCAAACUCCUACGGGAGGCAGCAGUGGGGAAUCUUGCGCAAUGGGCGAAAGCCUGACGCAGCCAUGCCGCGUGAAUGAUGAAGGUCUUAGGAUUGUAAAAUUCUUUCACCGGUGACGAUAAUGACGGUACCCGGAGAAGAAGCCCCGGCUAACUUCGU